This 1114-nucleotide ribosomal RNA is filed under the name human gut metagenome. RNAcentral describes it as "bacterial LSU rRNA". It matches the Rfam family "Bacterial large subunit ribosomal RNA", at positions 1268 to 2405 of the family's 2925-position model. The record is from RNAcentral.
GAGCAGUGGAGGGAUAAGAAGAGAGAAUGCCGGAAUGAGUAGCGAGAGAAAGGUGAGAAUCCUUUCGGCCGAAUAUCCAAGGUUUCCAGGGUAAAGCUGAUCUGCCCUGGGUAAGUCGGGGCCUAAGGCGAGGCAGAAAUGCGUAGUCGAUGGACAGCAGGUUGAGAUUCCUGCACCCGUAAUGAACAGAACUGUAGUGACACGGAAGGUAAGACAGAGCCGGGAAUGAGAAAACCGGUGCAAGCACAAUAGAUGUGUGGGAGGAAAAACCCCCGCAUAAGUCGAAGGUGUGACGCGGACCGAAAAAGAGUAGGGAAGCUGUUAAGCAAGCCGUCAAGAAAAGCUGCUAUUGUUUCAUUAUGGCCCGUACCGUAAACCGACACAGGUGGAUGGGGAGAGAAUCCUAAGGCCGGCGGAAGAAGUAUUGUUAAGGAACUCGGCAAAAUGACCCCGUAACUUCGGGAGAAGGGGUGCCUGCGAGAGCAGGCCGCAGAGAAGAGGCCCAAGCAACUGUUUAGCAAAAACACAGGUCUAUGCAAAACCGAAAGGUGAGGUAUAUGGGCUGACGCCUGCCCGGUGCUGGAAGGUUAAGGGGAGUGGUCAGGAAACGAAGCCACGAACUUAAGCCCCAGUAAACGGCGGCCGUAACUAUAACGGUCCUAAGGUAGCGAAAUUCCUUGUCGGGUAAGUUCCGACCCGCACGAAAGGCGUAAUGAUUUGGGCACUGUCUCGACAAUGCACCCGGUGAAAUUGAAAUACCAGUGAAGAUGCUGGUUACCUGCGCCAGGACGGAAAGACCCCAUGGAGCUUUACUCUAGCUUGAUACUGGGGUUCGGUAUUGCAUGUACAGGAUAGGUGGGAGACUGAGAAGAUGUGUCGCCAGAUGCAUCAGAGUCGAUGUUGGGAUACCACCCCUGCAGUACUGGGCUUCUAACCUGCAGCCGUGACCCGGCUGGGGGACAAUGUCUGGUGGGGAGUUUGACUGGGGCGGUCGCCUCCGAAAGAGUAUCGGAGGCGCUCAAAGGUUCCCUCAGAAUGGUUGGAAACCAUUCGAAGAGCGCAAAGGCAGAAGGGAGCUUGACUGCGACACCGACGGGUGGAGCAGGUACGAAAG